UAGAAAUGUGCCAAAUUACCCAGAAACAAUUUGGAUAGCUGGCAAACAGGGCUGCCUGCUGGUUUGUGAACAGGGUUACAGUUAUGGAAAAGUAGAAGUUUGGAGAGAUCUAGAGUCGGAGUUUGGGCGGCAAGUAAGAUGAAGGAGAAAAAGUUUUCACCUGAUCUGGAUAAUAUCUCAGUGGCUGUUCACAGCUUAACAUCAUCGUAUCCAGUGAGAACACUGCAGUUCAGAGCCCGCGGGUUAUAUAUUCUGAUUUUUCAACAUGUACAACUGGGAAGGAAGAUAUCCCAUUAACAGGGGAAGAGUCUGAGGAAAGACAAGGUGCUUGAGGCUGGAAGGGAUCCUGAGAGGUCAUCACCCUGCCUUAAGGCAGACUGAAUAAUGUCUCCUAAAGGAAAAAGAUGAAGAAUUUAAGUAUUCCACUACUCUUCUGUAGGACCACCCUCUUCGGCCCCCUAUCCCUGCUCCCCAAACCAAACCCACCUUAGUAAGGCUAUGCACACAAGAGCAAAGCUACUUUAAUUUUUUUUUAUUUUAAUUGAGACAUAGCAAGCUUCAGAUGUGAUGAUUAAUUUAAAUACAGAAAAUAAUCCUUAAUAGAAAAAGUCUCAAUAUUGGAAUGUCUAUUAUUACCAUCAACGUUAAAUUCAGUUAUUAUUUUUCAAUCAUAAUGAUUAAUUAGGUUUAAAUAUUUGUGCAUUUCACAUUAGCAGAUAUUGCUCUGAAUAGAGUGUUGCCCCAAAUUUUAUCACUUUAACAAAAAAGGAAACAAGUUGCUUAGCAAUAAGGAAAGACAAAGGCUUAAAAAUGCAUCUCAAAAGAUAUUGUAGUCAACCAUAAGAAGUCAUAGUAAAUGAUGAUAUCUAAAAGAAUGCUUGAAUGUGGAAACUCAAUGAGAAAAGAACUGUUUCCUAUUAGCUUUAACAGCAGGGUUUGUUAUCAUUUAAAUACACGCUCUAAUACACUUAGUGUUUUGUGCUACAUUUAACAAGAUUAAGUGAACACACACUGUUUCAACUCAAAUCUUUAUCGGAAAUCAGAGGCAAGCCUCAUUUCUUGCCAAAACAUUCUCUUGUGGCUCAUUCUUGGAGCAAAUUCCAUAUAAGUAAAUCUGUUUACCCAGGUGGACCACUGAUCAAUUAAAGAAUUUUCUUUUCAGGUAAUUCUGCUUUACUGAACUUUGAAAACUUUAUCUGAAAAUUCUAAAAAGUAGAUGCAUCUGAUAUGCUAUAAAGACUAUAAUUUGUAAUAAAAUGAAAAUGGCAUUCAAAUAGAGCAAAGAAUUAAAAUUAGGAUAAACUCUCAAAGUUCUUACAUGAUCUCACUAUAAUGCUACAAAUAAUUAGAUUCUGAGGAAAAGUAGUAGAUACUAGAUAGCUUACCCAAAAGAACAAAGUGUCUCAUUGUCUCAUGUGUUAAUUUCCCCCUUGAUGGAAAAAGUUUGAACUGCCUGAAGUGAGCUUCCAGGAACAUACAAAAGAGGCGCCCACAUCUCAACUUUCAGAUAAUCUUACUGAAAAUUUUAGCCUAUCAUAUCAUCCUAGACACCAGAUUCCCUUUUAAAGUACAAUACAUCUCUCAUUUCUUGCAUUUUAUAUUAUCUUAUAAGGUAUUUCUCCUUUCAUUUAUAUCAUGCAAGUAUACAUAUUUUGAAUCUAGUUCACUAUACAUCUAUAUUUUAUAAAAUAUUUUUUAUGUUCUACCUCA
This is a long non-coding RNA of Zalophus californianus (California sea lion), 1710 nucleotides long. RefSeq lists it as uncharacterized. The transcript has 5 exons. The record is from RefSeq and is a predicted model, not a curated record. NCBI's taxonomy places the organism in Eukaryota, Metazoa, Chordata, Mammalia, Carnivora, Otariidae.